Molecule: ribosomal RNA, 299 nt
Filed under: uncultured Aquifex sp.
Lineage: Bacteria; Pseudomonadati; Aquificota; Aquificia; Aquificales; Aquificaceae
Description: partial 16S ribosomal RNA
Rfam family: Bacterial small subunit ribosomal RNA (bases 50-299)
Source: RNAcentral
UGAUGACGUUGAGAGGUGAGGGGGGAGACGUGGGGGGCGGGUGUGAAUAGGAAUGACUGGGCGUGAAGGGGUCGAAGGCGGGUUUGUAAGAAAGGCGGGGAAUACCCGGGCGUAACCUGGGAACUGCGGUUGUGAAUGGAAGACUAGAGGACGGCAGAGGGGGGGGGAAUUCCACGUGUAGCAGUGAAAUGCGUAGAGAUGUGGAGGAAAACCAAUGGCGAAGGCAGCCCCCUGGGUCGAUACUGACGCUCAUGCACGAAAGCGUGGGUAGCAAACAGGAUUAGAUACCCCGGGUAGUC